GCCCCCAUGGCGAAAUUGGUAGACGCGCCAGUUUUAGGAACUGGUUCCGCAAGGAUUAGAGGUUCGAGUCCUCUUGGGGGCA
Non-coding RNA from Candidatus Wolfebacteria bacterium, 82 nucleotides. The record is from Rfam. Lineage: Bacteria; Candidatus Wolfeibacteriota.